RNAcentral lists this ribosomal RNA (253 nucleotides) under uncultured bacterium. Its description in RNAcentral is "partial 16S ribosomal RNA". It matches the Rfam family "Bacterial small subunit ribosomal RNA", at positions 524 to 776 of the family's 1533-position model. The record is from RNAcentral.
UACGUAGGGUGCGAGCGUUGUCCGGAAUUAUUGGGCGUAAAGGGCUCGUAGGCGGUCUGUUGCGUCGGGAGUGAAAACUCAGGGCUUAACCCUGAGCCUGCUUCCGAUACGGGCAGACUAGAGGUAUGCAGGGGAGAACGGAAUUCCUGGUGUAGCGGUGAAAUGCGCAGAUAUCAGGAGGAACACCGGUGGCGAAGGCGGUUCUCUGGGCCAUUACUGACGCUGAGGAGCGAAAGCGUGGGGAGCGAACAGG